CCCCAGACUCCUACGGGAGGCAGCAGUGGGGAAUAUUGCACAAUGGGGGAAACCCUGAUGCAGCGACGCCGCGUGAGUGAAGAAGUAUUUCGGUAUGUAAAGCUCUAUCAGCAGGGAAGAAAAUGACGGUACCUGACUAAGAAGCCCCGGCUAACUACGUGCCAGCAGCCGCGGUAAUACGUAGGGGGCAAGCGUUAUCCGGAUUUACUGGGUGUAAAGGGAGCGUAGACGGCAUGGCAAGUCAGAUGUGAAAGCCCGGGGCUCAACCCCGGGACUGCAUUUGAAACUGUCAGGCUGGAGUGCAGGAGAGGUAAGUGGAAUUCCUAGUGUAGCGGUGAAAUGCGUAGAUAUUAGGAGGAACACCAGUGGCGAAGGCGGCUUACUGGACUGUAACUGACGUUGAGGCUCGAAAGCGUGGGGAGCAAACAGGAUUAGAUACCCCCGUAAAG
This 449-nucleotide ribosomal RNA is filed under the name uncultured bacterium. RNAcentral describes it as "bacterial SSU rRNA". It matches the Rfam family "Bacterial small subunit ribosomal RNA", at positions 329 to 793 of the family's 1533-position model. The record is from RNAcentral.